This 350-nucleotide long non-coding RNA is filed under the name Citrus maxima (pomelo). RNAcentral's name for it is "long non-coding RNA (CMAX_LNC000392)". The record is from RNAcentral. Lineage: Eukaryota; Viridiplantae; Streptophyta; Magnoliopsida; Sapindales; Rutaceae.
AGGCCGAAGUGGUGGGCUGCUGCCCUCACAAGCAUUGUGAGGGCAGCGGUUCUAGCCCCCACAAAAGCAUUGUGGGGGCUAAAUGUUCUUUAUACUUCCAAAAAAAUCAUUCUCUCUUGCGAAAUGCGAGUGGAGUAUGGACAUCCCUCUCCUGUGAGGGGUUAUUUGUUUGGGUAUGUACUUCAUAGAAUUCAAUGUCAUAAUAUAAGUCCCAAUUAUGUAUAUCUGAUUGUAAAUAUCAGUAUAAUAUCUCUGCUACAAUAGCAGUUGUUGUAAAUAUCUGUGUAAUGCAGUAAUCUGAUGAUUAAUCAGUAUUCAAAAAAAAAAAAAUAGAGCCAUGUCAAUAUCAG